GCCAGGCGUGGUGUUACGUGCCUGUAGUCCCAGCUCUUUGGGAGGCUGAGGCAGGAGGAUCGCUUGAGCCCAGGAGUUCUGGGCUGUAGUGCACGAUACCGAUCGGGUGUCUGCACUAAGUCUGGCAUCAAUAUGGUGAUCUUCUGGGAGCAGAGAACCACCAGAUUGCCUAAGCUGGGGUGAACCAGCCCAGGUCAGAAAUGGAGCAGGUCAAAACUCCUGUGCUGAUCCGUAGUAGGAUAGCGCCUAUGAAUAGUCACUGCACUCCUGGGCAACAUAGCAAGAUCCCGUCUCUG
RNAcentral lists this signal recognition particle RNA (296 nucleotides) under Pteropus alecto (black flying fox). RNAcentral's name for it is "Metazoan signal recognition particle RNA". It matches the Rfam family "Metazoan signal recognition particle RNA". From Rfam's summary of the family: The signal recognition particle (SRP) is a universally conserved ribonucleoprotein. It is involved in the co-translational targeting of proteins to membranes. Lineage: Eukaryota; Metazoa; Chordata; Mammalia; Chiroptera; Pteropodidae. The record is from Rfam by way of RNAcentral.